Molecule: ribosomal RNA, 506 nt
Filed under: uncultured bacterium
Lineage: Bacteria
Description: partial 16S ribosomal RNA
Rfam family: Bacterial small subunit ribosomal RNA
Source: RNAcentral
AGUGAACGCUGGCGGUAGGCCUAACACAUGCAAGUCGAACGGCAGCACAGGAGAGCUUGCUCUCUGGGUGGCGAGUGGCGGACGGGUGAGGAAUACAUCGGAAUCUACUCUGUCGUGGGGGAUAACGUAGGGAAACUUACGCUAAUACCGCAGACGACCUACGGGUGAAAGCAGGGGAUCUUCGGACCUUGCGCGAUUGAAUGAGCCGAUGUCGGAUUAGCUAGUUGGCGGGGUAAAGGCCCACCAAGGCGACGAUCCGUAGCUGGUCUGAGAGGAUGAUCAGCCACACUGGAACUGAGACACGGUCCAGACUCCUACGGGAGGCAGCAGUGGGGAAUAUUGGACAAUGGGCGCAAGCCUGAUCCAGCCAUACCGCGUGGGUGAAGAAGGCCUUCGGGUUGUAAAGCCCUUUUGUUGGGAAAGAAAUCCAGCUGGCUAAUACCCGGUUGGGAUGACGGUACCCAAAGAAUAAGCACCGGCUAACUUCGCGCCAGCCGCCGCGGUAA